Molecule: ribosomal RNA, 778 nt
Filed under: uncultured Dysgonomonas sp.
Lineage: Bacteria; Pseudomonadati; Bacteroidota; Bacteroidia; Bacteroidales; Dysgonomonadaceae
Description: bacterial SSU rRNA
Rfam family: Bacterial small subunit ribosomal RNA
Source: RNAcentral
AGAACUCCAGUUGCGCAGGCAGCUUACUAAACUAUACUGACGCUGAGCACGAAAGCGUGGGUAUCAACAGGAUUAGAUACCUGGUAGUCCACGCAGUAAACGAUGAUUACUAGCUGUUUGUGAUAUAAAUAAGCGGCUAAGCGAAAGCGAUAAGUAAUCCACUGGGGAGUACGCCGGCAACGGUGAAACUCAAAGGAAUUGACGGGGGCCCGCACAAGCGGAGGAACAUGUGGUUUAAUUCGAUGAUACGCGAGGAACCUUACCCGGGCUUGAAAUGACAUGACCGAUUUGGAAACAGAUCUUCUAGCAAUAGCAUGUAUGUAGGUGCUGCAUGGUUGUCGUCAGCUCGUGCCGUGAGGUGUCGGCUUAAGUGCCAUAACGAGCGCAACCCACAUUGUUAGUUACUAACAGGUCAAGCUGAGGACUCUGACAAGACUGCCAGCGUAAGCUGGAGGAAGGUGUGGAUGACGUCAAAUCAGCACGGCCCUUACGUCCGGGGCGACACACGUGUUACAAUGGGGGGUACAGAGGGUUGCUACCUGGUGACAGGAUGCUAAUCUCGAAAGCCUCUCCCAGUUCGGAUUGGAGUCUGCAACUCGACUCCAUGAAGCUGGAUUCGCUAGUAAUCGCGCAUCAGCAUGGCGCGGUGAAUACGUUCCCGGGCCUUGUACACACCGCCCGUCAAGCCAUGGAAGCUGGGGGUACCUGAAGUACGUAACCGCAAGGAGCGUCCUAGGGUAAAACUGGUAACUGGGGCUAAGUCGUAACAAGGUAACCA